RNAcentral lists this long non-coding RNA (706 nucleotides) under Nicotiana benthamiana. RNAcentral describes it as "long non-coding RNA (NBEN_LNC011509)". Lineage: Eukaryota; Viridiplantae; Streptophyta; Magnoliopsida; Solanales; Solanaceae. The record is from RNAcentral.
ACAAAUCCUUGAGCUGUUAAAUAAAGAUACAACUUCUGACUGUCAAGUUAACAUGGCAGGUAUAACAAGUAACUUAUUGUCUAAGGACUAUUUGUAUAUGCGAAUUGUAGAUUCUGGUGCCAUUCAUCACAUAGUAACUUCGAAUGAUAUACCAAUGAAUGACAAUAAGACUACCAGGACUUCUAGUAAUGUGGUUGGAUUACCUAAUCGAGAUAUGAUUCCAAUUGCACUUAGUGGUUAGGCUGCUAUAUUUGGGAAUAAACAAUACAUGAUGAUGUCCUUUAUGUUAUGGAUUCAAGUUUAGCCUUUUCUCAAUCUCCAAACUAACCGAGGAACUCUGCUGCUCAGUGAACUUUUAUCCUGACUUAAUGUUGUUUCAGGAUAUUUACAGUGCUAGGGUGAAAGGGAUAGGUAAGGAGACAAGGGGCUUGUAUAUAUUCAAGGGAAUCAAUAGCAUCAAUAAGGAACAACAUACACAUGGCAUAGUUGUUGCUGCAACAGUAAAGAAAGAUUGCAGGCUGUGGCAUCAAAGACUUAGACAUUCAUCUCUUCCAUCCAUGAAGAUUAUCACCUUAAUAAGCAAUAAUGUAAAUAGUGAGUCAUUGAAUAACUAUCUAGUCUGUCCAUUAGCCAAACAAACUAGACUGAUGUUUCUUAAUAGUACAUCCAGAGCUAAAGCUUAUUUCUCUGUUAUUCAUCUGGAUCG